RNAcentral lists this ribosomal RNA (476 nucleotides) under uncultured bacterium. Its description in RNAcentral is "bacterial SSU rRNA". It matches the Rfam family "Bacterial small subunit ribosomal RNA", at positions 24 to 518 of the family's 1533-position model. The record is from RNAcentral.
UCAGGAUUAACGCUGGCGGCAUGCCUAAUACAUGCAAGUCGAAUGGAAGAGCUUGCUUUCCAUGGCGAACGGGUGAGUAACACGUAGGUAACCUACCUUAAGGACGAGGAUAACCUUUGGAAACGAAGGAUAAUACUGGAUAGGACAUCAUAAAACACAUGUUUAGAUGUUUAAAGGAGCAAUCCACCAUAAGAGGGGCCUGCGGCGCAUUAGCUAGUUGGUAAGGUAAAGGCCUACCAAGGCGAUGAUGCGUAGCCGGACUGAGAGGUUGAACGGCCACAAUGGGACUGAGAACGGCCCAUACUCCUACGGGAGGCAGCAGUAGGGAAUUUUCGGCAAUGGACAAAAGUCUGACCGAGCAAUGCCCGCGUGAUCGAAGAAGUAUUUCGGUAUGUAAAGAUCUUUUAUCAGGGAAGAGAAGACAGAUUGACUGAACCUGAUGAAUAAGCUCCGGCUAACUACGUGCCAGCCGCGGC